Molecule: ribosomal RNA, 468 nt
Filed under: uncultured bacterium
Lineage: Bacteria
Description: partial 16S ribosomal RNA
Rfam family: Bacterial small subunit ribosomal RNA
Source: RNAcentral
GACGAACGCUGGCGGCGUGCUUAACACAUGCAAGUCGAACGGAAAGGCCCUGCUUUUGUGGGGUGCUCGAGUGGCGAACGGGUGAGUAACACGUGAGUAACCUGCCCUUGACUUUGGGAUAACUUCAGGAAACUGGGGCUAAUACCGGAUAGGAGCUCCUGCUGCAUGGUGGGGGUUGGAAAGUUUCGGCGGUUGGGGAUGGACUCGAGGCUUAUCAGCUUGAUGGUGGGGUAGUGGCUUACCAAGGCUUUGACGGGUAGCCGGCCUGAGAGGGUGACCGGCCACAUUGGGACUGAGAUACGGCCCAGACUCCUACGGGAGGCAGCAGUGGGGAAUAUUGCACAAUGGGCGGAAGCCUGAUGCAGCAACGCCGCGUGCGGGAUGACGGCCUUCGGGUUGUAAACCGCUUUCGCCUGUGACGAAGCGUGAGUGACGGUAAUGGGUAAAGAGGCACCGGCUAACUACGUG